Molecule: long non-coding RNA, 301 nt
Organism: Vidua macroura (Pin-tailed whydah)
Lineage: Eukaryota; Metazoa; Chordata; Aves; Passeriformes; Viduidae
Exons: 3
Source: RefSeq, a predicted model, not a curated record
CUCAGCUGGGCUUUUCUGUAACAAAGACACAGAAGUCCUUACCCGGGCCACAAACCCCACUGAUCCACACAAGUGGUAUUCUGCUAGGGAGAUUGCAGGAGAACUUGUUGGUUUCUGUGGAGCACAAAAGGAACUGUGGGAAAGUGGUGAAGGACUUUCAUCAGACAAAAGGAUUAUCCUGUUUUCUGCAGUAAAGCAGGUGGCUGCCAGCUGAAACAGUGAAUGAAAAAGUAGAAAAAGCCGCUUGUAAAAUGACUUUCCUAUCACAUUUACUCAGGAGAAUUCUGUGGAAGAUGCAAAA